Molecule: unclassified non-coding RNA, 297 nt
Filed under: Hevea brasiliensis (rubber tree)
Lineage: Eukaryota; Viridiplantae; Streptophyta; Magnoliopsida; Malpighiales; Euphorbiaceae
Source: RNAcentral
UGAUGAUAUUUUCUGGUGACUCCUAUGAAUUGUACAGUUAGCUUUGCACUUCACCAAAUUCUUGUGGACAAUAGUCCUGUAUGUCUCUUGUAACAUCAUUGCAAACCAUUAGAGCCCUUGUGUAUGAGGGGGGAAACAAGGUUAGGAAAAAGAUGAGAGGAAAAACAGGAAAAAAAAAACAAAAGAAAAAACAAAACAAAGAAAGAAGGAGAGGUAGUCUGCAUUGGACUACGUCAAUAUUAUCAUGUAUUUAUUAUCUGUACCAUAUAUGUAAUUUGUCUUUGGAUAAUACAUACA